Molecule: ribosomal RNA, 406 nt
Filed under: uncultured bacterium
Lineage: Bacteria
Description: partial 16S ribosomal RNA
Rfam family: Bacterial small subunit ribosomal RNA
Source: RNAcentral
AUUGAACGCUGGCUGCAGGCCUAACACAUGCAAGUCGAACGAGAGGCGGACGGGUGAGUAUUGCAUGGGAACCUGCUUGACGGAGGGGGAUAACUACUUUAAACGGUAGCUAAUACCGCAUACCAUCAGAAGUGCCCAGAUGGGAUUAGCUAGUUGGUGGGGUAACGGACCACCCAGGCGACGAUCCGUCGCUGGUCUGAGAGGAUGACCAGCCACACUGGAACUGAGACACGGUCCGGACUCCUACGGGAGGCAACAGAGGGGAAUAGUGCACUAGGGGCGCAAGCCUGAUGCGGCCAUGCCGCGUGUAUGGAAAGGGCAUUAGGGUUGUAGAGUACUUUCAGCGGGAAGGCGUUAUCCGCAGAAGAAGCACCGGCUAACUCCGUGCCAGCAGCCGCGGUAAUAC